This 203-nucleotide long non-coding RNA is filed under the name Lathyrus oleraceus (garden pea). Its description in RNAcentral is "Pisum sativum (pea) long non-coding RNA (PSAT_LNC009287)". The record is from RNAcentral. Lineage: Eukaryota; Viridiplantae; Streptophyta; Magnoliopsida; Fabales; Fabaceae.
AGAAACGCAGCAUAGAUAACCUUUCGCAGAAUAUCAUCAUAUACACACCCGAAGUAUGUAACGAUAAUAUCCCACCAGGGUCUGAACUGCUCGUGAUAUCAAUGUUCCGCUAAGUGGCGCAUACCACCCGCUUCCCAUGAAUCACUCUAUUCCUAGGUUUCCUAGAUUUCACUCAUAGCCUGGGUAUUGGGCCUUUUACCUCG